RNAcentral lists this non-coding RNA (46 nucleotides) under Schistosoma curassoni. The record is from RNAcentral. Lineage: Eukaryota; Metazoa; Platyhelminthes; Trematoda; Strigeidida; Schistosomatidae.
ACACUGCUGAGGAGUCCCACAAUAGAACGAAACUACCGUUCAGUGU